RNAcentral lists this ribosomal RNA (822 nucleotides) under Cicindela ruficaputi. RNAcentral describes it as "partial large subunit ribosomal RNA". The stretch from base 1 to 561 matches the Rfam family "Bacterial large subunit ribosomal RNA", at positions 1846 to 2925 of the family's 2925-position model. The record is from RNAcentral. Lineage: Eukaryota; Metazoa; Arthropoda; Insecta; Coleoptera; Carabidae.
UAAGGUCUAACCUGCCCAAUGAGGAUUUAAAUGGCCGCAGUAUUUUGACUGUGCAAAGGUAGCAUAAUUAUUAGUUUUUUAAUUGAAAGCUUGUAUGAAGGGUUGGACGAAAUAAAAUCUGUCUCUAUUUAAUUCGAAGUAGAAUUUAACUUUUGAGUCAAAAGGCUCAAAUAACUAUAAAAGACGAGAAGACCCUAUAGAUCUUUAUUUAAUUAAUACUUUAAUAAUUUAGGAUUUAUUUAGUUUAAAGUUUUGAUUAAAUUUUAUUGGGGUAAUAUAAAGAUUAAAUAAAUUCUUUUUAUUUAUUACAUUAAUUUAUGAAUUUGUGAUCCAAUAUUAUUGAUUAUAAGAUUAAGUUACCUUAGGGAUAACAGCGUAAUUUUUUUGGAGAGCUCAUAUCGAUAAAAAAGUUUGCGACCUCGAUGUUGGAUUAAAAGUUAGCUUGGGUGCAGAAGCUCAAGAUUUUGGUCUGUUCGACCAUUAAAUUUUUACAUGAUCUGAGUUCAGACCGGCGUAAGCCAGGUCGGUUUCUAUCUUUAUUUAGUUAAAAUAUUUUAGUACGAAAGGACCAAAUAUUUAAUAUAUUUAUAUUUAAUUUUUGAACAAUAUUAUUACUUUGGCAGACUAGUGCAAUGAAUUUAGAAUUCAUGAAUGUAAUUAUAUUACAAGUAAUACUUGUAUUUAGGAGAUUUAUUUUCAAUGGUACUUUGUAUAUUAAUUCUCGUGAUUUGUGUAUUAGUUGGGGUUGCUUUUUUAACGUUAUUAGAGCGAAGGGUGUUAGGUUACAUUCAGAUUCGGAAGGGCCNUAACAAGGUUGGAUUU